GCCAUUUUGAUCUAAACCACUCUUAAAUUUCUGUUGCUACCUGUACAUCUGACUUAUCCCUUCUUCUAGACUGCAAACUCUUAGAAACCAAAUAUCAAGUAAUCUUAUACUUGAAAUUUGUUUUUAUUUUAUACUAAAUCAGAGUGAUGACUUAGGCUUUAUUUUGUAUAUCUUCCAGACACCCAUCAUCACCCCCCAAGUCUCCUGUCCUUUCUCCAUGCUGCCUUCUGACCCAGGUGACUAAUCUGGAUGGGCCACUGCAGCAAUUCUCAAAGUGUAGUCCCCAGACCCCUGGGUUUCCUCGAGACUUUUUCAGGAGAGUUCCCUGGACCCCUGAAAGCACUGAGUUCUGAUUUCUGAACUGAUCGACACUUGACUUUUACAAGAACCAAUGCCCUUCAAGCCUUGAUCAAGAAAUACAGUGCUAGAAGCUACCAUUCCCACCCCUGAUUCUCCCCGACCCUCAUGAUUCUAUCAGCAUUUGCUAUAUCCAAUCCUAGGACCACUGAAAGCACGUGAAGAAUCCUUGGAACUGUCUUGGGAAACCCUGACAAAUCCCCUGUGAGGACAGGUAUGGCCCUGAUUAAAAAAAAAAAUACUCUGAUGCCUCCAUAUGAUGGUUUCAUGAGGCCACUGGGCUCCUAAGCUUCACAGUUAUAAACAAGCUAUUUUGAAACAAUGGCUUAAAUUGUGUUAUUGGCCAGAAUUGCAUGAUUAUUCAAAUUCAGUGGGUUUACCUGGGUUAUAAGAUAAUUAGUAUUUUAUGAGUAUUAACCUGCUAGAAUAAUUUAAAAUUUUAAAGCACUUGAAUGUUAUUGGUUGAAACAAGUGGGAAUUUGAAAUUGUCAGAACCCCUACCUCCAAGAAAAAAUUUGACCCUAAGGAAAAAGUUAUCCAUCAGUAAGUGAAAGCCUCCAUCAACGAGCUACACUGGCC
This 936-nucleotide long non-coding RNA is filed under the name Sus scrofa (pig). Its description in RNAcentral is "lncRNA (ENSSSCG00070021164.1)". Lineage: Eukaryota; Metazoa; Chordata; Mammalia; Artiodactyla; Suidae. The record is from RNAcentral.